Long non-coding RNA from Pelmatolapia mariae (spotted tilapia), 467 nucleotides. RefSeq lists it as uncharacterized. Lineage: Eukaryota; Metazoa; Chordata; Actinopteri; Cichliformes; Cichlidae. The record is from RefSeq and is a predicted model, not a curated record. The transcript has 4 exons.
GUCCGUUGGGUCCUACCCAUCUGAAUACGAUAAGUCCCAGAGGCAAACCCUUAGGAGAUACGCCGCAAAAUUCAGGCUGAAGGGCGGAGUGCUCUUGUUUGGAAACAGGAGAGUGAUAAAAACAAAAGAAGAAGCCAUGGGACUAUUCCAAGAGCUUCAUUCAAGUCCCAUCGGUCGACACACUGGCGUACUCAAGACUCGAACUGCAAUUUGUUCCAGAUUUUACUGGUAUGGCAUGUCGGUUGACAUUGGGAAUUGGGUCCUGGCUUGUGACCAGUGUCAAAAAAUGGGAAAACCAUUGGCUGCUGUGCAACCACUGCAGUGUAUAAAGGUGUCACAUGUCUGGGAGCUAAUCGGAAUAGAUCUAACUGGACCUCUUCCAAAAACGUCUAGUGGCUUCCAGUACAUUAUGACUGCAACGGACUAUUUUUCAAAAUGGGUUGAGGCUUUUCCAUUAAAAAGUGCUG